Molecule: long non-coding RNA, 432 nt
Organism: Chenopodium quinoa (quinoa)
Lineage: Eukaryota; Viridiplantae; Streptophyta; Magnoliopsida; Caryophyllales; Amaranthaceae
Exons: 3
Source: RefSeq, a predicted model, not a curated record
GAAAAAGAUAAGAACAAAGAAGAGAGAAAUGAAGAGAAUAAAGACAAAAACUUGUUGAUUCCCUCACCAGUAGUUGAUUUGGGAUCAAAAGAAGAAGAAAAAGAGCAGUACAGAAAAGAGAGAAACGAGGAGGAAAAAAUUGAGAAGAAAGAGAAAAGGAAUGAGGAGUCACCAAAAACCCCAAUUCCUCCAAAAAAGAAGCAACCUUUUGAUAUAACUCCUCCAAGUUUCAAGUUAUUGACCCCCUCACCAGCAGUUGAAAAUCAAGAAGAUAAUGAAGCAGAACUCACUUACGAAGAAGUGACAGCAAAUGUUCUAAAUUGUGCUUUUCUAAAUCCAGAUCAUCCACCUACAUUGGAUGAAGAGGAGAAGCAAGAAGAGGAAAAAGAGGAGAAGAAAGAAGAGGAAAAAGAGGAGAAGAAAGAAGAGGAA